UGAAGAACCGCCUACUAUCA
Molecule: non-coding RNA, 20 nt
Filed under: Arabidopsis thaliana (thale cress)
Lineage: Eukaryota; Viridiplantae; Streptophyta; Magnoliopsida; Brassicales; Brassicaceae
Source: RNAcentral